CUGCUCUCUGAGGAGAUGACACAUGUCAAAAAGCCCUUAGAGACUGAGGCCGUCCUUGUUGAACAGCUGUUUUCAGCCACCUGUCUUGGUCAUCUGCAGAGGUCACAUUGUUUGCAUAUAAACUGCACAGCAACAGCCUCCAGAAGGGGUGGCCAUGUACCCACACACCAUUAUAACACCACCACCAGCAUGAACCUUGAUACAAAGCAGCAUGGAUGCCUUUCUUCUGAACGUCUCGUAUGAAAUGGAGACUCAUCGGAUCAUGGAAUAUUUUCCAAUUUUGCUACCAUUCAGUGGAUAUUUUCUCUUAUUCUCAGCUGUAAAACUGAAAGAUGACUGCGAGUGAAAUUCCCAGUGGAUCAGCGGUGUCUGAAAACCCAGACCAUUCCAUCUGUCACAAACAACCAUACUAUGAACAAAGUCACUCUUUAUAGACAAAACUGAAAAAAGCAUGUAAUGUUUUGUUUAAUAAUAAAAAUAGACUAAACAAAUAAAUUGAUUUCUUGUACUAUUA
Long non-coding RNA from Girardinichthys multiradiatus, 514 nucleotides. RefSeq lists it as uncharacterized. The record is from RefSeq and is a predicted model, not a curated record. The transcript is spliced from 3 exons. NCBI's taxonomy places the organism in Eukaryota, Metazoa, Chordata, Actinopteri, Cyprinodontiformes, Goodeidae.